Molecule: unclassified non-coding RNA, 334 nt
Filed under: soil metagenome
Description: partial contains 5.8S ribosomal RNA, internal transcribed spacer 2, and large subunit ribosomal RNA
Rfam family: 5.8S ribosomal RNA (bases 1-120)
Source: RNAcentral
GAUGAAGAACGUAGCGAAAUGCGAUAAGUAAUGUGAAUUGCAGAAUUCAGUGAAUCAUCGAAUCUUUGAACGCACAUUGCGCCCGCCAGGAUUCUGGCGAGCAUGCCUGUUCGAGCGUCAUUUCAACCAUCAAGCCCCAGGCUUGUGUUGGAGCCCUGCGGCUGCCGCAGCCUCCCAAAACCAGUGGCGGGCUCGCUAUCACACCGAGUGCAGUAGUUUACUCUUCGCUCAGGGCGUGUGGCGGGUGCUAGCCGUGAAACCCCCAACUUCUCAAGGUUGACCUCGGAUCAGGUAGGAAUACCCGCUGAACUUAAGCAUAUCAAUAAGCGGAGGA